RNAcentral lists this ribosomal RNA (483 nucleotides) under Triticum aestivum (bread wheat). RNAcentral's name for it is "partial small subunit ribosomal RNA". Lineage: Eukaryota; Viridiplantae; Streptophyta; Magnoliopsida; Poales; Poaceae. The record is from RNAcentral.
AUGGCGCCGAAGAAGACCACGAGGAGCAAGACGGGGUUCUUCGGCGUGAGGGCGAAGCCCUCCGGGAAGUUCGGAGUCAAGUUCUCUGAUGCCGGCCGCCGCUUUUGGCUCGGCAUGUACCCUACCGUCCACGAGGCCACACGUGCCUACGACGUGGCGAUUCCGGCGAAGAAGAAGCCGGCGGUUGUCGUUGGUCCCAGUGAGAGCGACGAGGCGACGAUGGCGAGGUUUGCGCGGGAGCAUCCGGAGUACGUCCAGGCUGAGCAGGAGUACUUCUGGAAGCGUGACGCCGAGGAGAAGAAGAAGAAGGAGGUAAAGAUGGAGGACGAGGCUGCCCCCUCGACGGUGAUCCCCAUCAAGUCGUCGGAGGAGGACUGGGUCGGGAUGAGUCGGAGGAGGAGGACGAGGGGUGCGACUACCCAGACACGGACGAGUCCAGGGCACAGUUCCGCAGCUCCGACGAUGAUGAGUAGUUUCAUCUAG